UCUGAAAAGUCCCGCAGAAUUCUAAA
Molecule: non-coding RNA, 26 nt
Filed under: Mus musculus (house mouse)
Lineage: Eukaryota; Metazoa; Chordata; Mammalia; Rodentia; Muridae
Source: RNAcentral